GGAACCCCCAGCAGAGAGGCCGGGCACCUGACCGCACGACCUGCGCUGCGCGUGGACACUGCGGAGACUCCGGACUUUUCCGGUUCUGGAGGCCACAGUUCCUUCUUUGGCUGUGAAAUGUGGUGCUGUCAUUCGUUGCUUCCUUCCCUCCCAUCUGUGCUACAGAUACAGCUGAGAAAAGGACAAAGUCCCCGUCCUCAAGGAUGUACAUGAUGAGAAGGAAACAUGCAGGUUAGUAGGGAACUCAAGAAGGCAGCAGAAGAUUCUUUAGGACAUGCCCAUACCUCCCACAAGUCUUCUAAUAGUGAAGGGAUAAAUAACAAGUGGGCACAAUGUGGA
Long non-coding RNA from Prionailurus viverrinus (fishing cat), 339 nucleotides. RefSeq lists it as uncharacterized. The transcript has 3 exons. Lineage: Eukaryota; Metazoa; Chordata; Mammalia; Carnivora; Felidae. The record is from RefSeq and is a predicted model, not a curated record.